RNAcentral lists this ribosomal RNA (234 nucleotides) under uncultured bacterium. RNAcentral describes it as "partial 16S ribosomal RNA". It matches the Rfam family "Bacterial small subunit ribosomal RNA", at positions 15 to 228 of the family's 1533-position model. The record is from RNAcentral.
GAUCCUGGCUCAGGACGAACGCUGGCGGCGUGCUUAACACAUGCAAGUCGAACGGAGCACCCUUGAAUGAGGUUUCGGCCAAAGGAAAGGAAUGCUUAGUGGCGGACUGGUGAGUAACGCGUGAGGAACCUGCCUUUCAGAGGGGGACAACAGCUGGAAACGGCUGCUAAUACCGCAUGACGCAUUCGGAUGGCAUCAUCUGAAUGACCAAAGUAUUUAUCGCUAGAAAGAUGG